GUAUCGAGUGAUGAAAGAGCUGACGGCGACAUUUUAAUGUAUGAUUGGCUUGGACCAUUGGAAUGAAGUCAUUUCAUGGUGCCACCACUUGGGAUGGUAUUAGCUGCAAAUAUAGACUUGUACUCAGCACUUAUUGCCUUUAAGAAGUAUGAGAUCCAUUUUGUGCUAACACCUACCGUGACACAGAAUCUUGGUUUAUGCAGUCUCAUAGGAGUAACCUGUCUAAAGCAUUUAGCAAUGGGAUUGGAACCUGCGACGUGUGACUCAUCUGAAGACUGAAUUUUGAUACCAAGCAUGACCAUGAUUUGCCAGAAGAUCAUCUGUUUGGAUGUGACAUGGAAUAAACAGCAUAGUGAAAAUAAGUCAAGUUUUGGUUUGUGAAGACAAUUUUUAAACACACUGUGUAUCAUUUUUAAAUUUUGAUUUGACAACAUAAAUCCACAAAUAUGAACAUAUCAAUUGCUCUCAGUUUUUCAAGUGAAAUAGUUUUUGUAACAGAAAUACAUGUACCAGUAAUUACAUUGGAAUAAAUGUUAUUUUUAAAUAUAAUAAUAUUUUGUUUGUGUAGCAUGUUGACCUCUUUAUUAAGGUCUUCCCUUUCAAAGUUUAGACUUACUUAUUCUAAUGAUUAAGAUAGAUCCUCUGUCUUCAGCAGGAAUAGAAGAUCUUGUAAUACAUGUAUGUGUAUUUUUUACAGUAUAAUGUAAAAAAAAUUGUUAUUUUGGCACAUACAACUAAUUAAAGGCAUAAACAUGUGUAUGAUUCCAAGGAAUUCAGUACAUAGGGCAUGUACAUGUAGUUUUCUAAAACAAGAUUGAAGAGAUGUCCAGUCGCAUUUCAAUGUCAACUGCAAAACUGUGCCUGUUGCAUAUUUAUUAGCCCAUCUGAGCUAAAGGAACCAGUAAAUUUUUUAAAAACAUAAUUUUAUCCAUUAUCAUCAUUGUCUAAAAUUUCACAAUAUCAUUUUCCAGAACCAAAGUGAAACUUGGCACAGAGCAUCCUUAGUGUAGGGGAUUCAAAUUGUUCUUAUGCAGGGCAAUACCUUCAAAGAGAUUUGUUUCUUUAAUGCUGUAAAUGUAUUAUAUUUAGCUUGUACAAUAUUUGGUGGAAAUUGACUUUUGAAUAAGUUAGCGUAGAUAUUCUUAUUUAUGUUUAUGUACAAGACUUUUAGCUUUGUACUUGAUUUAGUGAUUGCUGCAUUCCGCCAAAGCCGCUAAAAAAUAAUACACAGCCAUAUGUAAUAUGUUUACAAUAUACCUUUCAGAGAAUUUUACACUCCUAUUGAGGUACCACCAGUUGCUAGUGGAAAGCUGCAAAUUCGAAACAUACACAACACAUUUCUGUGCGUUUAUUAUAAAAGUAUUGUUCUACUUACUGAUUGCAACUAAUGAAGAUUGUUCAUCAUUAUUGUAAAUACAUUUGGAUUUUUUGAAUUAUUAUAUAAUUUGUUUAUUUUAUUUACCUAGUUAUAUUGUAUAUUAAAUGAUUUUAAAGCCAUUUUUAAGAUGGUAAUGUAGCAAAACAAUUAUGUUUCUGUAGUAUGACACGUUUCACAAACAUGAUAUAUCCGAUAUCAAAAGUCAUAAUAUUGGAAGUUAAACUGUUGUGGAUACGAUUUCAAGAAUGCUGUUAGAGAGAGUACCCUUUAGACCUCAUGCUCACACCAAAUUAAAGAAUUCAAGUAAGGGUUUCUGAGACAAAUCGAAAAAGAGAAUGUUAGCAAAGUUGACAAUCUAGACAGAAACAUUUAAUCUUUUGCUUAUCGCUAGGAAGGAAGACCCACUCGUUGCUUUGCAACGAGCUUUGCUCUAGUU
Long non-coding RNA from Saccostrea cuccullata (small rock oyster), 1814 nucleotides. RefSeq lists it as uncharacterized. The record is from RefSeq and is a predicted model, not a curated record. Lineage: Eukaryota; Metazoa; Mollusca; Bivalvia; Ostreida; Ostreidae. The transcript has 3 exons.